CUCAGACAUGGAGAGCAAGCUGAUGUUUUUGGUGGUUUGUGUGAUUGGUUGUGCAGUGUCUUGCAUUAAGGCUGAUGGGCACCUAUCAACGCCAACAAAUUUAACCUCCAACAUCACCGGCAAUGAGUGUGGAAAAACCAAACUAUGUUUGGACAACCCUAAAGGAUGUGACCCUUCAGGCAGCUCUCAGUGUUUCUUCACCUCGGUACAGAUUAACUUAACCACCCUCAAUCUAAAGGUUGAGCUCAGUGGCAACUCCAGCGGUUACAUUGCUUUAGCAGCUGGAGUGACAUCUAGUGUGGUUCAGGGCCUCAAUAUCAUCUUUGUCUGUGGCAAUAAUAAUGGCAGGUUCUUCUUCCGGACUGCAACACUCUUAAAUAAUACACUGCUGACAACAAAUGUAGUAAGGAUUAUAUUUUUUAGCAUACUGUCUGACCACUUUUACAGACCUUUUCCAUUUUUACAAGAAUGUGGAAUUAUCAAAUGUUUUUGAUAUAUGGAUCAAUAUCCUUUUUUUCCCCCAGCCCAAUGUAAACAAUAUCCAGGGUUCGAUACAACCAAGCUUGAUUCAGUGUGUUUUCAGCAUCCCCAUUGAUGCAAACACUAUCAACUUCCUAAACAAUGUCAAUGUCACAAAUGUCAACAUUAGCAACAUUGCUAAUUCCCAGCUGAAUGUUUUCCUUGACGUCUUGCAGGGUUCAACCAAUGGUGAGUUUGAUCACUUUUCAAAACACAAA
RNAcentral lists this long non-coding RNA (737 nucleotides) under Sinocyclocheilus grahami. RNAcentral describes it as "lncRNA (ENSSGRG00000003145.1)". Lineage: Eukaryota; Metazoa; Chordata; Actinopteri; Cypriniformes; Cyprinidae. The record is from RNAcentral.